This is a long non-coding RNA of Marmota monax (woodchuck), 4140 nucleotides long. RefSeq lists it as uncharacterized. NCBI's taxonomy places the organism in Eukaryota, Metazoa, Chordata, Mammalia, Rodentia, Sciuridae. The record is from RefSeq and is a predicted model, not a curated record. The transcript is spliced from 6 exons.
GUAAGAUCGCUACCACUGAUAUAACACACAUCCCCAGCCCUUUAUUUAUUUUUACCAGGCUGGGCCUUAAACUUUUGGUCCUCCUGCCUCAGCCUCCCUAGUAGCUAAGAUUACAAAUGUGUGCCACCACUCCUGGCUUCUCUUCUUGACCCACAAAAGACAUCACUUCCUUGAAGACUUGGCUCACUUUGAGGCUCCUGAUGGCUCCUUCCUGGGCAGAGGGCCAAAUUCUGACAAGAUUAAGAAGAGGUUCUGGGACUGGGCCAGGCUUGGAAAACAGGAAAGAUGACGAACUAAACUGCCCUCCUUCUGGGGAUUGUUUAUUCCAGUGUUCCCUCAACUGAGUUUUCUGGAUACAUGGCAACCCUUGACUUUUAACCCUCUCCUGGCCCUCUCCUGGCCCCCAGCUCAUAGUACAUCUCAGUCAUAGAGCUUAUUGGAUAGACUUGCUCCUGCGUCCACUUGGCCGAUUGCACUAAACUCCUGGAAAGCAAGAAGAACACAGAUCUCUACCGAGUGCCUACCAAGCCCACGGAGGAACCGGCUUCUCAAAUAAGCCUCUCUACAGCUCCUUUGGUCAGAUGCCUGUGGAAUAAAGUGGGGGAGACACAUGCACACACAGAUUCAGUUCUCCAACUUCAGGUUUCCAUCUUGAAAUACAAAACCACCCAGGACCCUGUCUUGGACAUGAACAGAAGGACAGCUUUGGAGAAGUGACAUGAACUAACAUUUUUCGAGUUGACAUCGCUCAAGAUAAAUGAUGCUGUGAGGCAUUUGUGCAAACAUCCUGACCCACAGUUUGCUGCUGAAGACUGCCUGCCAUGGGUGCCUUCGACACAGUGUUUUGCCUGGACUGAGCUGGAAUCCUGUGCUCUGGCCGGCAUCCCUCCUAACCCGGACAAAUUAAUUGGAAACAGAUGUCAAGCUGCGGGAGUUAAAUACAGACAUCUUACCAAAUGUCAGCCCUUCCCCGGGGCCACGAUGGAGUCCUCACUUCUCAUCCUCACCAGGGAGCUGGGAACAAGGCCCUUCACAUGCUGGUGGAAUGCUCUGCUGCCGUGGCCUGAUCCAGCCUGUUUUCCAUGGAGCACACCAGAAUGGACACCAGUGGCCAGGAGCUGCCUCUGUAAUCACGUCUCCUUGCAAAGGAUCAAUGCCUGCUCUUCUGCAAAGGGCCAGCAACAGUGUCAUCGGAAUGAGUUCAGGCCUUUCUGAGGGGGUCCUUUUGAGGCCAGCUGACCUAUGAAUGAGGGGGUGCUUAACAACCAAGCAGAAACAGCUCAGGCUCUGCCUGGAAAUGUGGGAGGCUGUGUGUGGCGCGUGUGUGUUCCAGGACGAUGAGAACUCAUCAAGACUCAUCCAGAUCUUUCUGGGAAGGGAUUCCCUAGGGUUCAUCAUCAUAGAGCUCACCUCAGCUAUGGACAAGCUGAAAGACCCCCUGAGAGUAGCCAGAGAUUGGGUCAAGUCAGUAAAUACCCACUCUGUGCUGUGUCAGACUCUGGGGGCAAAUGUUCACUUGGACUUGGAUACUGGCUUCUUGUAACUUGGUCUUCUUGGGUCUUCAGUUUCGUCAUCUAUAACAGAGCCAGUGUCCUCUAAGAGUCCUGAGAUUCUGUGGUUGUCUGAGGAAGGAAACAUGGCUUUCCCAACUUUGGUGCUAUUGGGCUGGAUGAUUCUUUAUUGUGGGGACUAUCUUGUCAUUGUAGGAUAUUAAGCAGCACUGCUGGCCUCUACCCAUUAGCUACCAGUAGCAACUCCCCAUUCCCAGUUUUGAUAAUAAAAAUGUCUCCAGACUUUAACAAAUAUUUCUCAGGGGGGUAAAACUAUCCUGGUAAGAACCACUGGUUUAAAAUCAUGACUGAGGCUCACACACGCCUGGCCAGGGGUUUUCCCAGGACUCUCUUAGUGAGCAGCCUUGGACUUGGCCCUGGGAUUUAUAGUCUUUAGGCUGAGGCUUGGGGCCUAGGUCUUCACUAUCCAUGGCUGCAUGAGACAAUGGAAUCCUAUCCUCUAAAGUCUUUCCUGCUCCAGGAAUUUAGGUCUCAUUAAUUCAGUGAUCAGGUAAGGUCUGAAUCUCACAGCUGGAAGCCCACUCUGUUGGGGGUUGGAGAGUGGCCUGAGGGGACAGGAACAAGGCUGGGGUCUGGAGGGUGUCAGGGGGCAUGGAGGGAAGGCCCUGGGCCUUACGUCACUUCGUGGUGUGCUUGGGCAAGUUCUCAGCUCUUUGUGUCCCAGUUUUCUCAUCAACGGGAAUGAUGGUGAUGACCCACCUUCCAGGAUUCUUAUAUCAGUGGAUCAGGGAGGAUCCCACCUGAAAGUGCUUCUAUGAAAAGGAUGUGCCAAAGGGACUAUUCACACAGUUAGGCCAGGACAAAGGGAAUGAGAGGGACUGUGAGGCACACCUGGGCUGGCAAAAGCAGGAAAUGAUUAUCCUUUCUCCUCACUGGGUUGAAGGGGCUGGGGCAGGGCGGUGGCUGGGGCAGAUAUAUACAGAGGACUGAGAGUUGGCAUCUUAGAGCCCCUCCUCCCUGCCCACCUGGCUCUGUAGCCAAACAGCUGCAGUCACAGUGCAACUGGGCCAGGCCCUCUCGUGUCUUGCUGGUGCUUCUCACUUCCGAGGCCCAUAGCUGGGGGCCAGGGGAUCGAGGUGUGCAGCAAGUAGAGGUCAGUUUCCUGGGCAUGGCACCUGUCAGAAAAGACCAGGGAAUAGGUCUGGGUAGGGGUGGGGUGGGAGAGGUGCCAGCCAGGGCAACCAGCAGAGCGAGGAGAAGGAGGGCGUGGAUAUUUGCCAAGUGCUUAGAACAGUGUUUGCACGUGGUGUUGGAGGAAGGAAACCUGUGCUAGCCUCUGGGGGUACAAGACAUGUUAAGUCAACUCCUGCAGCACCUUCCGUGUGGGAAGCUCCAGGCUCUUCCUUCUGGAGCUGGCUGUGGUGCGGCCCCAUGUGGGGGACAGGUGCCUAGUCUGGUGCCCACUGCACAGACACAUUCCAUGGAAGUUCACCUGGGCCUCCCCACCCUGGUGGACACAGCCAUCAGAUUCAUUCAUGGUGUUCCUUGGCCCUACUCCAUCUCUCCUGCCUUCCCUGGUCCCCCAUCUCAUGCACUUUGGCCAUGACCCCGCCUGUGGACCAGAGGUGGACCAGUGGCUGAGGCCUAGGAAGCCCUGCCUGGGGCAGGCGGGUCCAGCCUCUGUCCUGUCCUCAGAGUCCCUGGGCACUGAGGGGAUUUCCCUUGGCCUUUGUGAGGCUCCUCUGAGUCGACCUGUGCAUGGGAUGGGAGUCCCACUGGGGCUCCUGUGGGACCUGUGCUCCUAGCUGCCUGCAGGGGGUUAACUGAGCUACUCAGUGCAGAGGGGUUCACCUUGCAGGUGGGAGAGGCGGAGGAGGACAAGGAUACAGCCCUUCAUGAGCAUGCCUGCUUCCUCUGCCUGUCCACUCUGCUGGCUGGGCUGCCCUGUUGGUGGGAGUGGCCCUCUCCAGUCUACCUGCCUGGUCAGUGCUGUGGGCAGGCCAUAGCCUCUUCCCUUGUCCUUUAUCAAAGCAAGAGGUGGUGCAGGAACGUGGAGUGGGGCUGGACUACAGCUGCGACAGCACCACUGACCUCCCAUACUGCAGCUGGCAGUAGACCAAAGCUUUGAGCUGAGCAUGUGCAAACUCUGGGCUCAGCCCCUGGCUUACUUGAUUUCAUUUUGUCUUUCCAUAGCCCUUGGGUUGGCACUUCUGCUAUCUCACUGUAAAUGAGGAAACUAAGGCACAGAGAGUUAAGGUCUGGCUUGUAUCACACAGCUAAUAUGUGGUAGAGCUGAGAUCUGAGCUCAGGUCUGACCCCCUGUGCCGCUGAUCUGUGCUGCCUCCCCUCCCAGGUCCUGCCUUCUUGCUCCCGAGGGUGUCAUCAGGCCUGGGUCUCUGUAUGGAGGGGACUGCAGCUCGGAAAUGAGGCUGGCUUGGGAACGUUUUUCCACACGACCCCCCCUGCCCCCACCCCGUGCAGCUGUGUAAUGAGCCCACAUCUGUUACCACCACAUGUUGCUCGGCGCUUCGCAGAUGUAAAGUCUCAAUUUUUCUAAUUAGCAGCAACACGAAGUCUAUCUUAAUUUUCUCCUCCCCUCCCUCUAAUAAACGUGAUAUUAACAAGGUUA